Molecule: ribosomal RNA, 497 nt
Filed under: uncultured bacterium
Lineage: Bacteria
Description: partial 16S ribosomal RNA
Rfam family: Bacterial small subunit ribosomal RNA
Source: RNAcentral
GAUGAACGCUGGCGGCGUGCCUAAUACAUGCAAGUCGAGCGAACAGACGAGGAGCUUGCUCCUCUGACGUUAGCGGCGGACGGGUGAGUAACACGUGGAUAACCUACCUAUAAGACUGGGAUAACUUCGGGAAACCGGAGCUAAUACCGGAUAAUAUAUUGAACCGCAUGGUUCAAUAGUGAAAGACGGUUUUGCUGUCACUUAUAGAUGGAUCCUCGCCGCAUUAGCUAGUUGGUAAGGUAACGGCUUACCAAGGCAACGAUGCGUAGCCGACCUGAGAGGGUGAUAGGCCACACUGGAACUGAGACACGGUCCAGACUCCUACGGGAGGCAGCAGUAGGGAAUCUUCCGCAAUGGGCGAAAGCCUGACGGAGCAACGCCGCGUGAGUGAUGAAGGUCUUCGGAUCGUAAAACUCUGUUAUUAGGGAAGAACAAAUGUGUAAGUAACUAUGCACGUCUUGACGGUACCUAAUCAGAAAGCCACGGCUAACUACGUG